Molecule: long non-coding RNA, 2057 nt
Organism: Bombyx mori (domestic silkworm)
Lineage: Eukaryota; Metazoa; Arthropoda; Insecta; Lepidoptera; Bombycidae
Exons: 4
Source: RefSeq, a predicted model, not a curated record
GUUGUUGACGCUGUUAAAUUUUAUUGGCAAUUUAUUUUUCUUGUACAGCAGAGAUUUCGUAGGAGAAAAUCGUCGGAUUUCCACCCGCACGGCAGGUGGGGAUCGCCAUCAGAAUGCCAUGUUAUGUAAGGAAUGUAAAAAUUCACGAAGAUAUAGCAUCAUAAUAAGUAUGUUUCUGAAGACAGCGUCAGAAUGCUUCUACGAGAUAGCAGCGCAGCAUGAUAGCUCUCUUAUUGUGGCUGCAAAUUACUUACCCGACCCAGACAACGGGGCAACAAACAGGCACCGCUUUGCCUACAGAUACAGUUCAUUGAGUUACUCGCCAGAUCUUUUCAGUGGGUCGCAAUUCCGAUCCAGAUUUAGCGAAGUACUGCUCUUGAGAGCAGGUGUUUCUUCGUGAAACAAAAAAGACGAAACAUUGUGCUAACGAUACUCCAAGGAAGAUACAAAUACUCUAAGAAAUAUUUAUGGAGGUUUUUCGGAAUGGAAUCCCCGAGGAACGCAGCACGACGCCUUGCCCUCUGAAAAUAAGGGAAAACACGUUUCAAAUCCCUUGCCACGUAUAAUUCUUAAUACUUGGAUUAUAGAAUGGCUUCUUAAAUCUUUGCAGAAAAAAGAUAACAAGCAAUUAGGGUUUGGUGAUAAAGCAAAUCGGCUUGCGGAGGAUCUCCGUUAAAAAUGCAGAGGAUUCAACUUUUUUUUUCUUAACGAACUUCAUUUUUAUAGUCGAUUGGUUUUAAUUUUAAGGUUAUAUUCUUCUCGUACAAAGUAGGUAAAUCAAAUGCCUGCUGUCUAUUCAGUAAUAAUAUAAUAAAUAAAGGACAGUAGAAGAGCUAUUGAUUAAAAUUUGCUGCUAUUCUCAACGGUGAAACCUGUUCGGGGUUGUUGUUAAACCUCUUGUGAUAUCAUUGUAAUACUAUUUAUACAUGUUAAUAUAAUAUUAUUUUCGAUUUUACAAGUACUUCACAGUUUUCAUGGUUAUAUACAAUUGUGUCGUUAAGCUGUAGAAGUUUCAUUAUAUUUACGAUACGCGAAAAAACCUCUAAAAAUAAUUUUAAUUAGAGCAGAAAUUUCGUUACGAAAUUUCUAAUUCUUUAAUCCUAAAUCAUAUAAUAUGACUUAUACAGGAUAUAUUGCAAUUAUGUUAAGGAAAUUGGUCGUGAAACAAUUAUGCAUGGACCUCUGUGGACAAAGCAACCUGUCUAUCCAUACAAAUAGAAAUUUCUUAUUUUAUUAUUUGCUUAUCUUAUUUUUCAUGGUCCUUUUAGUGUUGAAUGUCUUUUACAUUCUGAAACAUGAGAUCGUAAUCUCAGCUGCAUUAUAAAAUUUUGUACCUUUAAAUUGGAGCGCAUGACUCCAGUGCAUUCGUAUCUAGCGAUGCACCGGUGUUCGAAUCCCGUUGGCAAGUACCAAGUUUUUGAAUGAAAUCCGUACUUAACAAAUCGUACUUAACAAAUGUUCAUGAUUGACUUCCACGGUGAAAGAAAAACAUCGUGUGAUAAAACUCAAUAUCCGCAAAAUUAUAAUUUGCGUAAUUACUGGUCGUAAAACGGCUUGUGAGUCCGCAUGGGAGGGUUCCAUCACCCUGCCUAUUUCUGCCGUGAAGCAGUAAAGCGUUUCGAUUUGAAGGCAGGGGCAGCCGUUGUACUACAAAAACGGAGACCUUAGAACUCAUAUCUCAAGAUGGGUGGCGGCAUUUACGUUGUAGAUGUCUAUGGGCUUCGGUAACCACUUACAAAACGGCCAUGAGCUCGUCCACCCAUCUAAGAAAAAAGCUGUGUGGUGUCGUGGGACACCGGAUAGGAACGAAGUUCCUUAUUAUAAAAAUAUUAAUUGUAAGUUCUAUUCGAGGUAUAAAGAAAAUAAUUAUUCGGGAAUACAUUUUUAUUAUGAUUUAUUUAUUGAUAAAAAAAUACAAAAAUACUUUACAAAGUUAUCAACUUUAUUUUAUUCAUAAUGAUUCAUAAAAGGUAUAUAAUAAAAAUAUGUUAUUUUUUGUACGUUAUUACAAAGCUAAGUCGUACACUGUGUGCAUUACUAAUAAAAAUCUUACGUUA